GGGCCCGCACAAGCGGAGGAGCAUGUGGCUUAAUUCGAUGCAACGCGAAGAACCUUACCCGGGUUUGACAUGUGACUGCACGUCCCGUGAAAGCGGGAUUCCUUCGAGGGUGUCACACAGGUGCUGCAUGGCUGUCGUCAGUUCGUGCCGUGAGGUGUUUGGUUAAGUCCAGCAACGAACGCAACCCCUGUGACCAGUUGCCAGCGCGUAAUGGCGGGAACUCUGGUCAGACUGCCUGUUUACGCAGGAGGAAGGUGGGGACGACGUCAAGUCAGUAUGGCCCUUACAUCCGGGGCUGCACACGUGCUACAAUGGCCGGUACAAAGGGACGCGAGACCGCGAGGUGGAGCAAACCCCCAGAGCCGGCCCCAGUUCAGAUUGCGGUCUGCAACCCGACCGCAUGAAGUCGGAUUCGCUAGUAACGGCGCAUCAGCUACGGCGCCGUGAAUACGUUCCCGGGCCUU
Molecule: ribosomal RNA, 464 nt
Filed under: uncultured bacterium
Lineage: Bacteria
Description: bacterial SSU rRNA
Rfam family: Bacterial small subunit ribosomal RNA
Source: RNAcentral